UACGUAGGGGGCAAGCGUUGUUCGGAAUUACUGGGCGUAAAGGGCGCGUAGGCGGUGCGUUAAGUCAGAUGUGAAAGCCCUGGGCUCAACCCGGGAAUUGCAUUUGAUACUGGCGUGCUCGAAUCCGGGAGAGGUUGGUGGAAUUCCCAGUGUAGAGGUGAAAUUCGUAGAGAUUGGGAAGAACACCGGUGGCGAAGGCGGCCAACUGGACCGGUAUUGACGCUGAGGCGCGAAAGCGUGGGGAGCAAACAGG
RNAcentral lists this ribosomal RNA (253 nucleotides) under uncultured bacterium. Its description in RNAcentral is "partial 16S ribosomal RNA". It matches the Rfam family "Bacterial small subunit ribosomal RNA", at positions 524 to 776 of the family's 1533-position model. The record is from RNAcentral.